This is a long non-coding RNA of Papaver somniferum (opium poppy), 1325 nucleotides long. RefSeq lists it as uncharacterized. The transcript has 2 exons. NCBI's taxonomy places the organism in Eukaryota, Viridiplantae, Streptophyta, Magnoliopsida, Ranunculales, Papaveraceae. The record is from RefSeq and is a predicted model, not a curated record.
AUCAUUUUUCCUCGACCGUAUCAACCCAAAUCGAGAGGAUAGCUCUCAUUCUAUUUUCUUCUUCUUCUUCUUCUUCUUCUUCUUCUUCUUCGUUCUUCUUUCUUCUUCUGCUGUUUUUAUUCUUCUGCUGUUUUUAUUCUUCUGCGAGUUUGAGAGAUUGAAUGGGAGCUUUAUCAUCGGUAAGAGAUGUAGAAAAUUAUGGAGUACUGUCAGUGAUGGUGUUGGUGUCUGUUGUUGAUUCAGACUCGAUGAAGAAGUGAAUUGGAAGUUAGGGUUUCCGAGAUUUGAUAAUUGAUUGAAGAUUUAUGAGAAAUUGAGGAUGAAAUCGAGUAAUUAAGAGGGGUUUCUGGUUAAUUGAUGUGGUGUAGCUGUUUUGAUGAAGAAUCGAUGAAUUAGGGUUUACAAGAGAUUCAGAAUAAGAGUUUGAAGAUGAAAUUGGAAGUUUAUAUGGAAGAUUAGAAGAUGGGUUUGAUUGAGUUGAAGGUUUACAUUGAUGUUGUGAAUUCGAAUUAGGGUAGAGAGGAUUGAGAAUCAUUUUAGGGUUUUACUGAAAAAGUGAUGUUGGUGAUGGAGAUGAUUGGGUUUUGGUUAAACUGAAUUGGUAGAUGGUUACUGUCUUAAGAUGACUUGUUGAAUCAAGUCAAGCAAUAAGAAGAGUUCGAUUUCAAUUGGCUUAUCUGAGAUGAACUACUUUGAGGUGUUAGUGCUAAUUGUCUGGAUGAAGUUUAAAUCUCAGGGCUAAGAAGUACUGAGAGUAUGUGUUUGGAUGGUGGUGUUAGUUGUGAUUCUGGUGGAGCAACAAAGUCAAUUUGUGCUGGUGGAGCUAAUGAUAAUGAGGAUGACAUAUGACUGUUAAUGGAAGAAUUGUAGUGAUGAUGUGAAAGUUAAUGAAUAUGUAAUGAUGUUGAAGUUUAUGCUUUGGAGUAUGUUGAAUUGCAAGCAAGAGAACUGGAAUUGCAAGAAUGUGAAGUAGAGGUGUUGUUGGUUGGUACUGAGAUGGAGUUGCAGGUGAUGUUGGUUUGGUAUGUAUAGGGUCUUGGAGAUGUUAAGGAGUUGAAUUGCAGAGUUGAGUAGUUACAGUUGGGGAGAUGUUUUGGUUGUUACAGAGGUUCGUAUUAGAAUGUAGUGAAACUGAAUGAAGAGAAGUUAGAUGGUUGAUUAGAGUGUAGAAGAGUGUAUGGAGUUGAAUCUCUCUUGUAGAAGCUGAGAACUGCUGGAUUGCAGGUAGACUUUAGUUAUAUUUGUAAAUUGAUUGUGAAGUUUUAAAUUGAGAAAUAUAUUGAUUUAUAGUAUACUGUUUAAAUAGAAAUCAUAGUUAAGAGUCU